This 1245-nucleotide ribosomal RNA is filed under the name metagenome. Its description in RNAcentral is "SSU rRNA". It matches the Rfam family "Eukaryotic small subunit ribosomal RNA", at positions 488 to 1758 of the family's 1831-position model. The record is from RNAcentral.
GAUCUCUUUGAGGCCCGUUAUCGGAAUGAGAACAAUUCAAAUCCUUUAACGAGGAUCUAGCGGAGGGCAAGUCUGGUGCCAGCAGCCGCGGUAAUUCCAGCUCCGCAGGUGUAUAUCUAUGCUGCUGCGGUUAAAAAGCUCGUAGUUGGAUCUGCGUGCUCGGAACUGGUUGGCUCACUGAGUUCAAACUGGUCUCCGGCGCUUUAUUGGCUGGUUUUCCCUUGAUGCUCUUAACCGGGUGUCUUGUGUGGCUAGCACGUUUACUUUGAAAAAAUUAGAGUGCUCAAUACAGGCGUAAAGCCUUGAAUAGUGGUGCAUGGAAUAAUAGAAUAGGACCUCGGCUCUAUUUUGUUGGUUUUCGGAACGCGAGGUAAUGAUUAAGAGGGACAGACGGGGGCAUUCGUAUUGCGACGUUAGAGGUGAAAUUCUUGGAUCGUCGCAAGACGGACGACUGCGAAAGCAUUUGCCAAGAAUGUUUUCAUUAAUCAAGAACGAAAGUUAGAGGUUCGAAGGCGAUCAGAUACCGCCCUAGUUCUAACCGUAAACGAUGCCAACUAGCGAUUCGCAGGCGUUAAACAACGACCUUGCGGGCAGCUUCCCGGAAACGAAAGUGUUCGGGUUCCGGGGGAAGUAUGGUUGCAAAGCUGAAACUUAAAGGAAUUGACGGAAGGGCACCACCAGGAGUGGAGCCUGCGGCUUAAUUUGACACAACACGGGAAAACUCACCCGGCCCGGACACCGUAAGGAUUGACAGAUUGAGAGCUCUUUCUUGAUUCGGUGGGUGGUGGUGCAUGGCCGUUCUUAGUUGGUGGAGCGAUUUGUCUGGUUUAUUCCGAUAACGAACGAGACUCUGGCCUACUAAAUAGUGGGCGGAUUCUUUCUGUCCGCAACACUUCUUAGAGGGACAAGCGGUGUUCAGCCGCACGAGAUUGAGCAAUAACAGGUCUGUGAUGCCCUUAGAUGUCCGGGGCUGCACGCGCGCUACACUGAAGGAAUCAGCGUGCUUUCUGACCUUGCCCGAAAGGGCUGGGUAACCCGAUGAAAAUCCUUCGUGAUUGGGAUAGGGACUUGCAAUUAUUUCCCUUGAACGAGGAAUUCCCAGUAAGUGUGGGUCAUAAGCUCGCGUUGAUUACGUCCCUGCCCUUUGUACACACCGCCCGUCGCUGCCCGGAACUGAGCCGUUUCGAGAAGAACAGGGACCGUCGUUGAAGGGCCUUAACGGGCUUUUCUCUGAUAGAAACUGUU